This 453-nucleotide ribosomal RNA is filed under the name Streptococcus sp. canine oral taxon 279. Its description in RNAcentral is "bacterial SSU rRNA". It matches the Rfam family "Bacterial small subunit ribosomal RNA", at positions 9 to 454 of the family's 1533-position model. Lineage: Bacteria; Bacillati; Bacillota; Bacilli; Lactobacillales; Streptococcaceae. The record is from RNAcentral.
GAGUUUGAUUCUGGCUCAGGACGAACGCUGGCGGCGUGCCUAAUACAUGCAAGUAGAACGCUGAAAGAAUAGCUUGCUAUUCUGGAAGAGUUGCGAACGGGUGAGUAACGCGUAGGUAACCUACCUCAUAGCGGGGGAUAACUAUUGGAAACGAUAGCUAAUACCGCAUAAGAAUACUUAUUGCAUGAUAAGUGUUUAAAAGGAACAACUGUUUCACUGUGAGAUGGACCUGCGUUGUAUUAGCUAGUUGGUAAGGUAACGGCUUACCAAGGCGACGAUACAUAGCCGACCUGAGAGGGUGAUCGGCCACACUGGGACUGAGACACGGCCCAGACUCCUACGGGAGGCAGCAGUAGGGAAUCUUCGGCAAUGGGGGCAACCCUGACCGAGCAACGCCGCGUGAGUGAAGAAGGUUUUCGGAUCGUAAAGCUCUGUUGUCAGCCAAGAACUGUA